ACGCUGCGGCGUGCCUAANACAUGCAAGUCGAACGAAGUUCUAUGGAAUGCGGCUUCGGCCAAAUGAAGUUUGAACUUAGUGGCGAACGGGUGAGUAAUACGUAAGCAACCUGCCUAUGGGACUGGGAUAACGUUUGGAAACGGACGCUAAUACCGGAUAGGUAGAGAGGAGGCAUCUCUUCUCUAUUAAAGUUUAGAUACACCGAUAGAUGGGCUUACGGCGCAUUAGCUAGUUGGUGAGGUAACGGCUCACCAAGGCGAUGAUGCGUAGCCGGACUGAGAGGUUGAACGGCCACAUUGGGACUGAGACACGGCCCAAACUCCUACGGGAGGCAGCAGUGGGGAAUAUUGCACAAUGGGGGAAACCCUGAUGCAGCGACGCCGCGUGAGUGAAGAAGUAUUUCGGUAUGUAAAGCUCUAUCAGCAGGGAAGAAAAUGACGGUACCUGACUAAGAAGCACCGGCUAAAUACGUG
This 474-nucleotide ribosomal RNA is filed under the name uncultured bacterium. RNAcentral describes it as "bacterial SSU rRNA". It matches the Rfam family "Bacterial small subunit ribosomal RNA", at positions 33 to 507 of the family's 1533-position model. The record is from RNAcentral.